GAUGAACGCUGGCGGCGUGCCUAAUACAUGCAAGUCGAGCGAACGGACGCGAAGCUUGCUUCUCUGAUGUUAGCGGCGGACGGGUGAGUAACACGUGGAUAACCUACCUAUAAGACUGGGAUAACUUCGGGAAACCGGAGCUAAUACCGGAUAAUAUUUUGAACCGCAUGGUUCAAAAGUGAAAGACGGUCUUGCUGUCACUUAUAGAUGGAUCCGCGCUGCAUUAGCUAGUUGGUAAGGUAACGGCUUACCAAGGCAACGAUGCAUAGCCGACCUGAGAGGGUGAUCGGCCACACUGGAACUGAGACGCGGUCCAGACGCCUGCGGGAGGCAGCAGUAGGGAAUCUUACGCAAUGGGCGAAAGCCUGACGGAGCAACGCCGCGUGAGUGAUGAAGGUCUUCGGAUCGUAAAACUCUGUUAUGAGGGAAGAACAUAUGUGUAAGUAACUGUGCACAUCUUGACGGUACCUAAUCAGAAAGCCACGGCUAACUACGUG
Molecule: ribosomal RNA, 497 nt
Filed under: uncultured bacterium
Lineage: Bacteria
Description: partial 16S ribosomal RNA
Rfam family: Bacterial small subunit ribosomal RNA
Source: RNAcentral